UCACACUGGAUCAGGGUGGACUUUAAAUUUAUAUGUGGUCCUUGUAAACCAGAGAUUUUGAAACAGACACAGAGGAAUCAGGUCGUGUGAUGACAAUAAUAGAAACUGAAAAGAUGCAGCUAUAAACCAGGAAGCAAGGGUGAAACAAGGAAGGAGUCUUCCCCAGAACCUUUAGAGAGAGUGUGGUUCUGCCAACACUGUGCUUUCAGAUUGCUAGUUCCAGGACAGUGAAAAAAAUAAAUGUCUCUAUUAUGCCCUCCAGUUUGUGGUAUGUUGUUAUGGCAGCCCUUGGAAACUAAUACUGCUAACUGCUAUGUGCCAGGCACUGUUCUAGGUGCAGGAGACUCAGGGUGAACAGAAUAGGCAGGAUCCCUGCUCCUACAGAGCUGACAUUCUAGGAAGACAAAGAACAGGAGAAUAGCAGGGCUUGAAUUCACAACCCUGACAUCAAGAUCUGAGUCUCCAGAUCCAGAUAUGGAACAUCUUUAUCCCUCCAGAAAUUUUCUUCAUGCUUCUCCAGCUUUGACCAUGUGAUGUUUAAGUUGUCUUCCUCCUGAGCUACACUUGCACACCUGGUGGAACAGCUGAUUGCACAGAUGUCUCAGCAACAAGGUACAAAUGGAAAAGCAACCUCCUCCCACUGUCCUUCAAGCCCACAGUCUAGAGGCCAGAAGUCUGAAAUCAAGGUGUUGACAAGACGAGUUUGUUCUGGAAGCUCUCAGCCAGAGUCUGUUCCACAUCUCCCUCCAGGGUUUUGGUGGCUGUCAGCAAUCCUGAGUGUUCCUUGACUUCUAGACACAUUCCUCCACUCUCUGUCUUCAUCUUCACAAGGCCUAUACAUCUGUGUGUUCCCUGAUCUCAUCUCCUUUCUCUUUCAAGGACAACAGACAUUGGAUUUUUGGGACUUCCUCUAAUUUCAGGAUAAUCUCAUCAAAAGAUCUUUAACUUAAUUAUAUCUGCAAAGGCCCUAAUUCCAAGUAAAGUCACAAUCACAAGUACUGGAGGUUAGGACUUGGGCAUAUAUUCUGAGGGACCACUAUUCAAUCUGCUAUACUUCUAUUUACACAAUUAUUUAAAAAAAAAAAUCAUGAGAACUGUGUUGAGAGUUUCAGAGAAACAAGUUUACUUACAAUUAGAAUAAAAAUAUUUUCUGGAGUCUUCUAGCAUCAUUAGUAGAGCCUUGUUUACAUACGCCAAC
Molecule: long non-coding RNA, 1198 nt
Organism: Mustela erminea (ermine)
Lineage: Eukaryota; Metazoa; Chordata; Mammalia; Carnivora; Mustelidae
Exons: 5
Source: RefSeq, a predicted model, not a curated record